GGCAUUUUUAAUUUGUGGGUAAUGAAGGACUAUGGUGUCAGGGAAUCUUGGACUAACUUUAUUAAAAUACGAGAUACCGAUCUUUUUCUUUCAGCCCGACCAGUAUAUAUGUUUGCGGAUUGUCAAGUGUUACUGCACUUCCAACGUUUUGGAUAUUUUAGUUCUAAUUUCACGACAAGUGGAAGACCAUUUGAUUUAUGCCCUGAAUGUGAUACUACUAAGCGAGGAAUUGUUUAUGCAGAGAGCUUCAUUUCACCUACUUCACUGCUUACUUA
RNAcentral lists this unclassified non-coding RNA (275 nucleotides) under Hevea brasiliensis (rubber tree). Lineage: Eukaryota; Viridiplantae; Streptophyta; Magnoliopsida; Malpighiales; Euphorbiaceae. The record is from RNAcentral.